UGCGUAGGCGGAAUAGUAAGUCAGUGGUGAAAUCCUGCGGCUCAACCGUAGAACUGCCAUUGAUACUGCUAAUCUUGAGUAUAGUUGAGGUGGGCGGAAUGUGUAAUGUAGCGGUGAAAUGCAUAGAUAUUACACAGAACACCGAUUGCGAAGGCAGCUCACUAAGCUAUUACUGACGCUAAGGCACGAAAGCGUGGGGAGCGAACAGGAUUAGAUACCCUGGUAGUCC
RNAcentral lists this ribosomal RNA (229 nucleotides) under uncultured bacterium. Its description in RNAcentral is "partial 16S ribosomal RNA". It matches the Rfam family "Bacterial small subunit ribosomal RNA", at positions 568 to 796 of the family's 1533-position model. The record is from RNAcentral.